GCGAUUCAAAGAUAAAUUCACUUGCACAGUAAUAAAUUAAAAGUGACUUUAUAUCAUGCAGAAAACAUAUCACACACCAUUAAGACCUUUUUUGGGGCUAUUUUCUCAUAGAUUUAUUUCCAAAGGGAAUAAGCAGUUACAUUAUUAGUACAUAAUAUGCAAACACACACACAAAUUCUCAAGUUCCAUAUAUUGUAGGUCCAUAACUUCAGUAGUCAAUAGCUAGGCAUGGCUGAAAUAUGUUUUUUAUUUAUUUGUUAUAUAAUCCCUAGUUAGUACUUGGAACUUCACUCUCUUCCUUCUCAUAAGCCAGGCUGCUACUUCCCAAACCUGCGUAAAAGAAAUUUUACACUAUCAGUUCAAUUUUAGCUUACAGAUUAUAUCUUUAAAUUUUUCAGAUUACUAGUUUCACUUAUUAUGAACAGUUACCUGUAGUUAUUUAGCAACGACGUUCAUCAUCACUGCUGUCGCUACAGUCGCUGCCACUGCCGCUACCGUAACCGCCCUUUCUCCUGCGGUGUUGUUUCUUGUAAGUGGUGGUGCAACCAGAAGCUGCCCCCAUUCCGUAGCCACCAUGUCCAUGAUGUCCCUCAUGUUUCUUUCCAAAGCCCAUAACAUGGCCCAAAGCGCCCGAGCCCAUUCCACUGAACCCGGGUUUCUGCAUGUGAGUGUUGUGGCCCGUGCCAUAGCCCAUCAUUCCAUGAAUGUUGUGGCCCGACCCAUAGCCCGUGCCAUGGCCCAUCAUGGGCACACCGGGGUUAGUGCUGCCAUAUCCGUUACCUAGUCCAUGUUGAUGGCCGUGACCAGUACCAUAACCCGUCAUUCCAGGGUUGGUUCCGUAACACCUUUCUUUCUCAUAGAAAGUUUGUUGGUAACCCGAGUUCGAGUAGUUAGUUGGUUUUUGGUAAGUGCCUGAGGAUUUAUCAUAGUAAUCAAACUCCUUACCUUCUUCUUUGUAGCAUUGCAUUGAAGCCAUGGUUAAUGUUUAAAUGGAUGUUUGAGAUGAGUAUUUUGUUUGGUUUUUUGGCUGGCUUGAGGAAAAUGAAAAGGGGGAUGAUAGGUAUUUAUACAAGUUAUAGCUUAGUGGGAUUCUCUCAUUUCCUCCAUUAUUUGAUGAUAUUUUUGGAUCUUUUCCUCUUCCUAUUAUAAAUUGCCAAGGGCCAAAAAGAACUUAUUCUUGUGGGAUAAUAUGAAUAAUAUGAUAGAGAUAUAUUCCUAUCCUUGUUCAAUUAUUUUUAUUUUGAACGGUCGGAAAUGAGUGUCAUACUAUAUAGGCUCAAGCGUGGUCAGAUGAAUACCUUUUACCGAAAAAUUAUAUCGUAUAUAUUAAAUUAUGUAAUAUUUAGUUAUAUAUAUUAAAGCGUUUUAUCUAAACUAUAUAAGUAGUACUUAUUUUCGAGAAGAAAAAUAUCAGCUAACUUACAUGUAAGUCAACUAUAGUAUUACAUUUGCCACUUGUCUGGUCGAAUAUUUUGUACCACAAACUGGACAAAUAUUUUUCAAGAUACUAUACGUACUGAUAAUAUUAAGUGAUAUAAAGUUAUUCAUCUUCUUGUUGAGGAAGACCAUUUUGAUCAAUAUCUGUAAUUUUCUAGAAUGGAAUAAAAAUACACCUCAUAGCUUUUCGGUACUCGAAUGAUCAGGGAGUGGAUACAUGUGUUCGGAACCAAAAUAUAAUUCUUUUAGACUUAAAAAAACUAAAAUAUAUAUAAAAAAGAACCGGUGACCAUAAUAUACAUUACGCCAUAAUAUAAGGCGCUAUACCUUAAUGACCGUUUGUCCAUUAAGAUAUAGUGCCCUAAUUUAAGGCGCUAUACGUGAACGUCAAAUGACCGGGAAGGCAUAGCGUCUUAAUAUAAUGCGCUAUAGGAUAGAGUCUUACAUUAAGGCGCUACACCUACAUAAAUUAUCGGCCCUUUUCCUUCCCCACCAAAAGAAUCUCCCCCCCNNNNNNNNNNNNNNNNNNNNNNNNNNNNNNNNNNNNNNNNNNNNNNNNNNNNNNNNNNNNNNNNNNNNNNNNNNNNNNNNNNNNNNNNNNNNNNNNNNNNNNNNNNNCUUUAAUUAAAAAUGAACAGCGGUCCUUCCCCUCCCCCUACCCCACAUUUUUAAGCAAAAAAAGCUCGAGUGGAGCUCAUCGGUCCCAAAAAAGUAUAAAUACUCAGUCCCACAUCUUAUUUAAGGCGUUAUCUCAUAGUGGUUUGCUCAUUUCGGCUCCAAAUCACCAAAUUUUCAAGUUUCCAAAAAAUUAAAAUCAAGGUAUUCCGACUUAAUUUUUGUUAAAACUCAUGUAUAAAAAAUGCCUAUUAGUUGUUUUUUAUGGUGCUCUAUGUUAUUUUGUGAUUAUUUUGCGAUUUAAUUAAUUUAUUAUUUUUUAUCCGGUUAUAUUAUUAGUGUGCUAAAAAAAUUAGUAAAAUAGAAAAGUUAUUAUCAGUCGUUAAAAAAAUAUUAAUUAGUUACUUUUUGUUGUGGUUUAUAUUUUUUAUGAUUGUUUUGUGAUUAAAUUAAUUUAUUAUUUUUAUCCGAUUUAGAUUAGUUAUUUGCUAAAAGACUAGUAAAAUAGAUAUGUGACUUACUUCCAUAGAGUGGUACCUUGUGCCUUAAUAUAGUGCUCGUAUUUGUAAUGUAAUGCCCUUUUAGCGUAGUACAAUGUAGUGCCCUUUACCGUAGUUUCAUUGUAGUUAUUGAAAUUAAUCAUUUAUGUACAUGUUAAAUCCAAAAAUAUCUCAAAAAAGUUGAUAGCUCAAACACAAACUCUCUCCAAUUUUAGUCGACAGACGUAAGAAAUAACAUGAGAAAACAAUAAUAUUUGUCAAACUAAGUAUUGUUAUAUGGAUAUUUAAUUAUUAAAUCAUGUAUAGUUAUGAAACUUAAUUAUUUAAUUUUAUUAUAGUAAAAAAUAGCUGAGUAACAAACAAACAUAUAAAAUAAUAAAACUAACAUAUAAAAUAAUAAAUAAAUAUAUAAAAUAAUAAAAUAACAUACAAAAUAAUAAGUUAAUAAACCUGUUGAAUGAUAAAUUGGGGAAAAUUUUUCAUCAUGAACACAAGAACAUUGAAUACUUUUGUGCAGUUGGGCCUCAAAUAUCGAGCCCAUAACUAAAAUGUGGUUCAUUUGGACUCAAACCAAAUAUUAUUAUAUGAAUAUUUAAUAAUUAAAUCCUGUAUAGUUAUGGAAAUUAAUUAUUUAAUUUUAUUAUAGUAAAAAAUAGGUAAGUAACAAACAAACAUAUAAAAUAAUAAAAUUAGUAUAUAUUAAUAAGCUAACAUGUAAAAUAAUAAAACAACAUAUAAAAUAACAAAUUAACACUUAAAAUAAGAAACAAACAUAUUAAAUAAUAAACAAACAUAUAAAAUAGUAAACUAACAUAUAGAAUAUUAAAGUAACAUAUAAAAUAAUAAACUAACAUAUAAAAUAUAAAAUAUAAAAUUAUAAUAUAAAAAAUGUAUCAACCUAAUUAACAAUAUAGUAAAAAUAUCGAAUAAAUUUUAUUAUUAAAGGUAUUGUAAUAUAUUUAAAUAUGUUAAGCAAUGAAAAAAAAAACUUUAAUUUAUAUUAUCCUAUUUAUAGUAGUCGUCAUGGAGGUUCUGCUUGUGCAUCCUGGACCUGCCUCACUAGAGCUAUUGUUACUACUGGCAGAGCAUAGGUCUUCGUACAUAUGAGAAGGGCAGUUAUUGGCCCAGAUGUUCCGUGCUAGAAGAGUAGACGAUAUGUGAGACUUUCUUGGGGGUCACCAUCUCCAUCCCCAUAUAAUCAGACGCCUUUAGGAUACAGGUUUUUAUAGGAUUAUUGAGAUAGGCCGAUUGCAGCUGGAUUAGUCAUUGAUCACGGCUUUGAUAAAGCGAUGGAGACCGGAGAUGCUCACAUUUCAUUUACCCAUUGACGAGGGUACUAUCACACUUCAGGGCGUUGAGGUUCUGUAUGGGCUGCCUGUUGAUGGUCAUCCUGUAGCUUUACCGCAUGCUAUCAGAGAUUAUAUACGAGUGCAGUACCUGGAGAUGUUGCAGCGGCUCAUCGGUUUCUAUCUAGUGGAUGCUGCUGCAUUGAGAGGGGCUAGUCGUCUGCAAUUGAUGCUCGUUCUGCUGCAUCUGUAACCGAUUCAUCCGGACAUUAUGAAUGAUACACCAGAUCUUCAUAUUAACUGGUACACGAUAUUGUUGAUGUUGCUUGUGUUUAGAGGGGUAUUAUUCCCGAACACUUCGAGAAACCUAGUCAGGUUGAGAUUUCUUCAUCAUCUUUAGCGGCUAGAUGAUUUACCUAGUUACAACUGGUGUGUAGCUAUUCUUGGUUACUUAUACAGGAAGAUAUGCCAGGGCUAGCAUGGGCACCCAGCACGACGUUGCCAGACUUUUGUCGAUGCUGCAUGUGAAAGCAUAGUCAAUUAUUUUCAUGAUUAUAACAUACAAAGUAAAAAUAUACCUUAAGGUUAAUCAGAUGGUAGUAUAUGCUAUGAUUCAGUCGUUGUGAACUUUCAAAGAGUUAUUUAUAUGUUAUAAGUGAACAGAGUUGACUUGAGGCUCAUUGGUAGGCUAACAUGGAUGUGUGUUUUGCACCGGGUCGAAUUUGUUGGUUUCGAGUUGCUAUUGCUAAGGGAUCUGCCACUCGAUUGUUGUUGAGCUUAUUCGUGUUGUGGGGUGAUUUAUAAGUUACUCUUCUUUGUUAAAAGGAGUUGCGAUUUGUUGGUUAUAUGCACAUAUGGUGCGGUUCUAUUUGAGCUUUAUAGCGGAAUUUGAGCGAGACAGUCAUUAGGGUGUUGCAUGAUUGAUUGCACAUUGGGUAUGUUAUCUCAGACUUUUAUGACAUUGUGUUAUUUACUUCUCCGUAGUUAUGGUGAUUUACUUGUGGUACUAGAUAUUGAAUUGCGGUGGUUGUUGAUUUUAGGUUAUAGUGACUUGAAGUAUUUCAUGUGUACCAGUGUUUGGAUAGGAUCCCACAUUGCGGUGAAGUUAUGCGGAAGUAUGAUCCUUCGAGUUAGAUUCGCGUGUUUUGGUUCUACGAGGUGCGAUGGGUUCUUAGCACCGUGGUAUGGUGGUACUAGUGAACGUGCGGUACAUCUCUCUUAUUUGAGUCAUUUUUCGUGAUUUAAGUAUAUUUGGGUCGUUGCUAUUUGGUGCACGGUUUGUGGAUUUAGAUCGUAUUGAUAUGUCAUGUCAUCAGAGUAGUCGUAUUGGAUGAGAUGAGGUCAUUGAACCUGGAAUGAAUGCUAUUAGAUUCGGUUUCACCAUGAUAGGAGGAUAAUCUCGGGAUUUGGCUUGGAAGUUUACUAUGGUCCUUGACAAAGGAGAGAGAGCUUCAUGAAUGGUUGAUCUGAGGGAUGGUUACAACUUUCUGCGUGUUUCCUUUGUUAUUGGCAGUAUACGAAAGUGUUUGGAAUGAGGCUUUGGUUAAAAAGAGGUUUAUUACUGGUAUUGGGUUAUUUGAGCAGUUGAUGUGAUUAGAAGUUAUCGCUUCAGGUGUUUGAGUUGUGUGGGAUAUCAUGUGAUUACAUCUAGGGAUACAAAUAUGGAUUGAUACAACUGGUUUGAACUUAGUAUAUAGGUGUGAGAUUCUGAUAUUAUAGAUAAGUAUGGAACUGGAAAUUUGGUCCAAGGUUCAUGGGUUUGGUUGGAUUGUGAAAUUUCAGUUAUGUUGCUUUAUCAGACCUAUAUGGUAUAGAGUGACAUGAGUUUGUUAAUGCAAUUUCUCCUUCCUUAGACGUUGCUUUAUUUCAUUCUAAUUUAUGAAGUUGGGACUAUAAGUCAAUUUUUAAAUAUAUUGUAAAUUAUAUAUAUUUUUUAAAUAAUAGACUUAAAAAAAGUUACUAGUGCACUUCGCUCUUGAAUUAAUGAGUCACUCGUGGUGAUUCAAAGAUAAAUAUUUUUGGGAUUAUUUUCUAAUAGAUCUAUUUCCAAAGGGAAUAAGCAGUUACAUCAUUAGUACAUAUAAAUACGCCAACACACACAAAAAUUCUCAAGUUCCAUAUAUAGUAGGUCCAUAAUUUUAGUAGUCAAUAGCUAGCCAUGGCUGAAAUGUGCUUUUUAUUUAUUUGUUGUAUAUUCAUCAUCGCUACUGCCGCUGCCACUGCCGCU
This 6065-nucleotide long non-coding RNA is filed under the name Nicotiana benthamiana. RNAcentral's name for it is "long non-coding RNA (NBEN_LNC037970)". The record is from RNAcentral. Lineage: Eukaryota; Viridiplantae; Streptophyta; Magnoliopsida; Solanales; Solanaceae.